Molecule: ribosomal RNA, 460 nt
Filed under: uncultured bacterium
Lineage: Bacteria
Description: partial 16S ribosomal RNA
Rfam family: Bacterial small subunit ribosomal RNA
Source: RNAcentral
CCUACGGGAGGCAGCAGUGAGGAAUAUUGGUCAAUGGCCGCAAGUCUGAACCAGCCAAGUCGCGUGAAGGAAGACGGCUCUAUGAGUUGUAAACUUCUUUUGUACGGGAGUAAACGCAGAUACGUGUAUAUGUCUGAAUGUACCGUACGAAUAAGCAUCGGCUAACUCCGUGCCAGCAGCCGCGGUAAUACGGAGGAUCCGAGCGUUAUCCGGAUUUAUUGGGUUUAAAGGGUGCGUAGGCUGUCGGAUAAGUUAGAGGUGAAAUUCCGAGGCUCAACUUCGAAAUUGCCUGUGAUACUGGUAGGCUAGAGAGUAGUUGAGGUAGGCGGAAUGUGUGGUGUAGCGGUGAAAUGCUUAGAGAUCACACAGAACUCCGAUUGCGAAGGCAGCUUACCAAGCUACUACUGACGUUGAUGCACGAAAGCGUGGGGAGCAAACAGGAUUAGAUACCCGAGUAGUC